Molecule: ribosomal RNA, 501 nt
Filed under: uncultured bacterium
Lineage: Bacteria
Description: bacterial SSU rRNA
Rfam family: Bacterial small subunit ribosomal RNA
Source: RNAcentral
GACGAACGCUGGCGGCGUGCCUAACACAUGCAAGUCGAGCGGGGUUGAAGCGAGGGGUAACUCGAACUUCUACCUAGCGGCGGACGGGUGAGUAACGCGUGGGCAACCUGCCUCAAGGUCUGGGAUAACAGCUCGAAAGGGCUGCUAAUACCGGAUAUGCCUAUAGCCUCGCAUGGGGCUAUGAGCAAAGGGGAAACCCGCCUUGAGAUGGGCCCGCGUCCCAUCAGCUAGUUGGUGAGGUGAAGGCUCACCAAGGCGACGACGGGUAGCCGGCCUGAGAGGGUGACCGGCCACACUGGGACUGAGACACGGCCCAGACUCCUACGGGGGCAGCAGUGGGGAAUCUUGCACAAUGGGCGAAAGCCUGAUGCAGCGACGCCGCGUGAGCGAAGAAGGCCUCGGUUGUAAGACUCUGUCUGAGGACGGAAGAAGUAGAGGUACCUCCGGACGGAAGGCCACGGCGUAACUACGUGCCGAGCAGCCGCGGUAACUAAGUCUACG